Molecule: ribosomal RNA, 807 nt
Filed under: Triticum aestivum (bread wheat)
Lineage: Eukaryota; Viridiplantae; Streptophyta; Magnoliopsida; Poales; Poaceae
Description: partial small subunit ribosomal RNA
Source: RNAcentral
AUGGGAGACAUGAACGAGCUUUUGUAUGAUAUGGAUAAAAGUUCCCCUAUUACUGAUCGCUCUCGGCUCCGUGCUUUUCAUAAUCUUGUUAAGAGGUGUGGUUUGUUUGAUCUGGGUUAUAGUGGGCCAGCUUACACCUGGACUAAUAGGCGGUUCUCUUCUAAACCGAUUUAUGAAAGGCUUGAUCGCUGUUUAGUCAAUGCUGAUUGGUGUGCUUCCUUUCCGGUUUCUAAUGUUUAUUAUAUGCCUUUGAUGCACACAAUUAGUGAUCAUGCUCCGAUUUUAUUAUCUACCGAUGGUCCUGUUCAUAGAAUCAAACGCAGCUUUAAGUUUGAAAAUUGGUGGAUAAAAGAGCAAGAUUUUCAAUCUCAAGCUAAGGCUGCAUGGUCGAAAACAACUCAAAAGAGUUUCUCUCAGAGAACUGAUGAUCUUGCCGGAGUACUUAAAGUCUGGUGCAGGAAGAAGAAGCCUUUGCAACAGGAACUCACUGAUCUGGAGGAGCAAGUUAAACAUUUGCAAGAGCAGCCCAUUCAACAGCAGAACCAUUUGUUGGAGAACUCUCUGGUUACCAGGUACGAACAGAAUCUCACCAAACUAGCUGACUUUUACUUGCAAAGGGCAAAGAAGCACUGGAUCAAGGAUGGAGAUAGAAAUACUUCUUUCUUUCAUAGAGCCAUACUUAAACGAAGGAGAAGGAACAUUAUUGUCUCUGUCAAAGAUGAGAACAAUAUUAUUCACUAUAUGCCAAAGCAAAUCAGUAAUACUUUUGUGAGCUAUUUUAGACACAUUUUUUUCUUCCAAUAUUAA